UCCUUGCCGGCUCCAGUUAACCUUGCCUGCCUGCCUGCCUGCAAACCUGGACUCCUCCUCCAUAUUACCCUCUGGAGAGCACAAUGUCCACUGGUGGGUGUGAUCACUGGCGCCCCAGUCAGCACACCUGCAGCUCAUCUGCAGUAAUCAGCACACCCAUAUAUAUCCAGACCAACCUUCCAGACAACGAUAGAUCGUUGAAUCAGUCACAACAACCAAACCCGAGCCUGAACCCUGCCGACCUGCCAGCAUUGCCGACCUGAACCCUGAGCCUGAGCCUGAGUCGCACCACCUCUCUCCAGCUUCUCGGAAAACACCUGCCAGGCUAAACGCUACUUGCUUUGGUGCUUUCAAUAAAUUCACACAUGUUCUAACUUCA
Acanthopagrus latus (yellowfin seabream) is the source of this 379-nucleotide long non-coding RNA. RefSeq lists it as uncharacterized. The transcript has 3 exons. Lineage: Eukaryota; Metazoa; Chordata; Actinopteri; Spariformes; Sparidae. The record is from RefSeq and is a predicted model, not a curated record.